AUACCAAACAGAAAACAUAUUCACUUCUCACUGAACCAAUAAACUCUUCUCUCACUUUCUAUUUAGUUAAUGGCUGUGACUGGCAUGUGAGAAGAGUGAGGAGAAAUGACUUCAGUGGCCCCACAGGAGUUCGGAGCAGAGAACAGGGCAUCAUCUGGUCUGGCACUGUUCUUGGGCACCAAGUCCCUCGUCUACCACCACAGGCCUGUAAGCGCAGGUUGAGGCGGCUCCGCGUGAGGCGAUCGAAAACUGCCCGAAACCCGCGAGAACUGGACUACUGAGCCUGCUUUUGCAAGAUGGCGCCCCCGCCAACACCUGCGCGAAGGAGAGGAGCGAGGUGAAUCGUCCCUCAUUCCGCCCGUCGUGAACAGCGCUGUACUCCUGUGAAGCUUGCUGCGCCGUUGCUGUGGCGUAAACCCGACUUUUGUUACCUGGUGGGGAAAACACUGACAUAUUGGACUAGGUUGUGCACGAACCAAGGCAAUUUAUGUGAAGCUCUGGCUUUACUCCCCAGUGUAACUAUCAGCAUUAGAAUCUGUCACACAUAGAACAUACUGUUAACUUACAGGAAUAUUGUAAAAUUUCUAAUUUAAUGUAUUACCCUUAGACUCACCUCUUUCCUCAGUAACUAUUUUCUGGUCCAAUCGAUUUCUAAUGUAUUUUAAAAUACGUUCAAAUGAAAAUAAAAGUUCUAACAGUAUCA
Long non-coding RNA from Bos indicus x Bos taurus (hybrid cattle), 703 nucleotides. The record is from Ensembl. Lineage: Eukaryota; Metazoa; Chordata; Mammalia; Artiodactyla; Bovidae.